AAUAUUGCACAAUGGGCGCAAGCCUGAUGCAGCAACGCCGCGUGCGCGACGAAGGCCUUCGGGACGUAAAGCGCUUUUCGGGGAGAUAAGCACGGACCGUAUCCCCGGAAGACGGAUCGGCUAACUACGUGCCAGCAGCCGCGGCAAUACGUAGGUGGCGAGCGUUGUCCGGAAUUACUGGGCGUAAAGGAUGCGUAGGUGGAUACUUAAGUGGGAUGUGAAAUCCCCGGGCUCAACCCGGGAACUGCAUUCCAAACUGGGUAUCUGGAGUGCAGGAGAGGAAAGCGGAAUUCCUAGUGUAGCGGUGAAAUGCGUAGAUAUUAGGAGGAACACCAGUGGCGAAGGCGGCUUACUGGACUGUAACUGACGCUGAGUCACGAAAGCGUGGGUAGCAAACAGG
RNAcentral lists this ribosomal RNA (400 nucleotides) under uncultured bacterium. RNAcentral describes it as "partial 16S ribosomal RNA". It matches the Rfam family "Bacterial small subunit ribosomal RNA", at positions 360 to 776 of the family's 1533-position model. The record is from RNAcentral.